RNAcentral lists this small nuclear RNA (306 nucleotides) under Jaculus jaculus (lesser Egyptian jerboa). Its description in RNAcentral is "7SK RNA (ENSJJAG00000003515.1)". It matches the Rfam family "7SK RNA". Rfam says of the family: 7SK was discovered as an abundant small nuclear RNA in the mid-70s but a possible function has only recently been suggested. Two independent studies have found that 7SK RNA binds the CDK9/cyclin T complex (known as elongation factor P-TEFb). Lineage: Eukaryota; Metazoa; Chordata; Mammalia; Rodentia; Dipodidae. The record is from Rfam by way of RNAcentral.
AGAUGUCAGGGAAAUCUGGCUGCAAUAUCUGUUACCCCAUUGAUUGCCAGGGUUGAUUCAGCUGAUCUGGCUGGCUAGGCAGGUGUUCCCUUUCUUCCUCACAGUUCCAUGUGUGACUCUCCCUCCUAAGCUGUGUGCUUGGUCUAUUCCCUAAAUAGAGGAGGACCAGUCUUUAGGUCUUCAGUCAAAGGUAUACAAGUAGCUGCAGUCCCCUGUUAGAACCUCCAAAGAAACUCUCAAGUGAUAUUUUCAUGGUCAUAAUAAUGUAAACAAUUGAUUAACCCAACCUUGCCAUGACUAUUGUGG